RNAcentral lists this ribosomal RNA (398 nucleotides) under uncultured bacterium. Its description in RNAcentral is "bacterial SSU rRNA". It matches the Rfam family "Bacterial small subunit ribosomal RNA", at positions 30 to 429 of the family's 1533-position model. The record is from RNAcentral.
AUUGAACGCUGGCGGCAUGCCUUACACAUGCAAGUCGAACGGCAGCACGGGAGCAAUCCUGGUGGCGAGUGGCGAACGGGUGAGUAAUACAUCGGAACGUGCCCAAUCGUGGGGGAUAACUAUGCGAAAGCGUAGCUAAUACCGCAUACGAUCUACGGAUGAAAGCAGGGGAGUCGCAAGACCUUGCGCGAAUGGAGCGGCCGAUGGCAGAUAGGUAGUUGGUGAGGUAAAGGCUCACCAAGCCUUCGAUCUGUAGCUGGUCUGAGAGGACGACCAGCCACACUGGGACUGAGACACGGCCCAGACUCCUACGGGAGGCAGCAGUGGGGAAUUUUGGACAAUGGGCGCAAGCCUGAUCCAGCCAUGCCGCGUGCAGGAUGAAGGCCUUCGGUUGUAAC